GAAGAAGCAAAAUGAUGAGUAAUACUUACAUGAGCCAAAGUGAGCGAGCUCUGUGUGUGUGUGUGUGCGCGCAUUUGUGUGAUGGUGGGUUGUGAGAAUUGUGUGCCUUAUAAUUGGGCGGUGAUAGCUAAACUGAUAAGAUCUGAUUGCUUC
Molecule: small nucleolar RNA, 153 nt
Filed under: Strigops habroptila (Kakapo)
Lineage: Eukaryota; Metazoa; Chordata; Aves; Psittaciformes; Psittacidae
Description: Small nucleolar RNA ZL1 (ENSSHBG00005005471.1)
Rfam family: Small nucleolar RNA ZL1
About the family: Host gene TRRAP. Predicted target U2@U47. Only GU-rich region is homologous to other known snoRNAs.
Source: Rfam by way of RNAcentral